This 497-nucleotide ribosomal RNA is filed under the name uncultured bacterium. RNAcentral's name for it is "partial 16S ribosomal RNA". It matches the Rfam family "Bacterial small subunit ribosomal RNA", at positions 28 to 507 of the family's 1533-position model. The record is from RNAcentral.
GAUGAACGCUGGCGGCGUGCCUAAUACAUGCAAGUCGAGCGAACAGAUGAGGAGCUUGCUCCUCUGACGUUAGCGGCGGACGGGUGAGUAACACGUGGAUAACCUACCUAUAAGACUGGGAUAACUACGGGAAACCGGAGCUAGUACCGGAUAAUAUAUUGAACCGCAUGGUUCAAUAGUGAAAGACGGUUUUGCUGUCACUUAUAGAUGGAUCCGCGCCGCAUUAGCUAGUUGGUAAGGUAACGGCUUACCAAGGCAACGAUGCGUAGCCGACCUGAGAGGGUGAUCGGCCACACUGGAACUGAGACACGGUCCAGACUCCUACGGGAGGCAGCAGUAGGGAAUCUUCCGCAAUGGGCGAAAGCCUGACGGAGCAACGCCGCGUGAGUGAUGAAGGUCUUCGGAUCGUAAAACUCUGUUAUUAGGGAAGAACAAAUGUGUAAGUAACUAUGCACGUCUUGACGGUACCUAAUCAGAAAGCCACGGCUAACUACGUG